GAUGAACGCUGGCGGCGUGCUCAACGCAUGCGAGUCGAACGGUGAAGGCGGAGCUUGCUCUGCUGGAUCAGUGGCGAACGGGUGAGUAACACGUGAGCAAUCUGCCCCUGACUCUGGGAUAAGCGCUGGAAACGGCGUCUAAUACUGGAUACGAGCUGCGAAGGCAUCUUCAGCAGCUGGAAAGAAUUUCGGUCAGGGAUGAGCUCGCGGCCUAUCAGCUUGUUGGUGAGGUAAUGGCUCACCAAGGCGUCGACGGGUAGCCGGCCUGAGAGGGUGACCGGCCACACUGGGACUGAGACACGGCCCAGACUCCUACGGGAGGCAGCAGUGGGGAAUAUUGCACAAUGGGCGAAAGCCUGAUGCAGCAACGCCGCGUGAGGGACGACGGCCUUCGGGUUGUAAACCUCCUUUAGCAGGGAAGAAGCGAAAGUGACGGUACCUGCAGAAAAAGCGCCGGCUAACUACGUG
This 468-nucleotide ribosomal RNA is filed under the name uncultured bacterium. RNAcentral's name for it is "partial 16S ribosomal RNA". It matches the Rfam family "Bacterial small subunit ribosomal RNA", at positions 28 to 507 of the family's 1533-position model. The record is from RNAcentral.